RNAcentral lists this long non-coding RNA (804 nucleotides) under Marmota monax (woodchuck). The record is from RNAcentral. Lineage: Eukaryota; Metazoa; Chordata; Mammalia; Rodentia; Sciuridae.
CAGACAGGACUUCUGGUCCCACUUUCCAGCCACUAACCUGUACUUCCUGUUUCAUCCCUGCUACCAGGAGCUGCACAGAGACUGCAUUUUCAACAAUAUCCACCUAUAAAUACUAAUGAAAGGUCUUUUUCAGGCAAAAUUUAAUUCCACCUGUUUCUACAUUGCAUCCCUGAGCGUAACUUUUUCAAAGUUUCAAAGGUAACUUACCUUUUUUUCUUUAUUCUGUAUUAUUAAGAAAAAUUGCAGAGAUAAUGUAACAAUUAUGAGACAUACAUAUACUUUUUUAUAUUUUGCUUUUAAUUUUGAAGGUUAUGAGGAGGCAUUUGCUUGUCACAGGGACAGAAGCCAGCAAUGUCCCUGUGAUAAUCAAAGACCUCAUUCUCAUUCCUGAGUAUAAAAUUACAAGACAUAAGUAAAUGUAUAAAGAAGGAUCUUAAUAUGUUACAGCAGAAAUAUAAAACAAUGCACUACUAAUUGAAGGAAAAUUAAAAUGGAUCCAAAUAUCAUAAGAACCACGUGGUUGCAUAAAGUUAAUACAAUUAUAAUUUAUGCCCUUAUUCUUAAUAUAUAUUUUUUCUAGGGAUUUGGACAACCUGUAGUUGUUAAUUCAUAAAAUAAUUAGCAUAUAUGUCUAAUUGUUUAAUUAAUAUAUAUUAUCUAAUUGUUUUUCUUCAACAGAAAACACAUAAUUUAUAUAUUACUUAUACAUGCAUUUCUCUGAUGCUCUGCCUUUUACAGGUAUUUGAGAUAAAUGUAUUUUACUACAAAUUUACUUUCAAGAGAUAAUACAACCAUCAAGUAAUC